RNAcentral lists this ribosomal RNA (497 nucleotides) under uncultured bacterium. RNAcentral describes it as "partial 16S ribosomal RNA". It matches the Rfam family "Bacterial small subunit ribosomal RNA", at positions 28 to 507 of the family's 1533-position model. The record is from RNAcentral.
GAUGAACGCUGGCGGCGUGCCUAAUACAUGCAAGUCGAGCGAACAGACGAGGAGCUUGCUCCUCUGACGUUAGCGGCGGACGGGUGAGUAACACGUGGAUAACCUACCUAUAAGACUGGGAUAACUUCGGGAAACCGGAGCUAAUACCGGAUAAUAUAUUGAACCGCAUGGUUCAAUAGUGAAAGACGGUUUUGCUGUCACUUAUAGAUGGAUACGCGCCGCAUUAGCUAGUUGGUAAGGUAACGGCUUACCAAGGCAACGAUGCGUAGCCGACCUGAGAGGGUGAUCGGCCACACUGGAACUGAGACACGGACCAGGCUCCUACGGGAGGCAGCAGUAGGGAAUCUGCCGCAAUGGGCGAAAGCUUGACGGAGCGACGCCGCGUGAGUGAUGAAGGUCUUCGGAUCGUAAAACUCUGUUAUUAGUGAAGAACAAAUGUGUAAGUAACUAUGCACGUCUUGACGGUACCUAAUCAGAAAGCCACGGCUAACUACGUG